Molecule: ribosomal RNA, 506 nt
Filed under: uncultured bacterium
Lineage: Bacteria
Description: partial 16S ribosomal RNA
Rfam family: Bacterial small subunit ribosomal RNA
Source: RNAcentral
GAUGAACGCUAGCUACAGGCUUAACACAUGCAAGUCGAGGGGUAACGAGAGGAAAGCUUGCUUUCCUUGUCGACGACCGGCGCACGGGUGAGUAACGCGUAUCCAACCUGCCCCCAACUAGGGAAUAACCUUGCGAAAGUAAGACUAAUACCCUAUAAUUUCCUCAGAUGUCAUCUGACGAGGAAUAAAGAUUUAUCGGUUGUGGAUGGGGAUGCGUCUGAUUAGCUUGUUGGCGGGGUAACGGCCCACCAAGGCAACGAUCAGUAGGGGUUCUGAGAGGAAGGUCCCCCACGGUGGAACUGAGACACGGUCCAAACUCAUACGGGAGGCAGCAGUGAGGAAUAUUGGUCAAUGGGCGGAAGCCUGAACCAGCCAAGUAGCGUGCAGGAUGACGGCCCUAUGGGUUGUAAACUGCUUUUAUACAGGAAUAAAGUUAGCCACGUGUGGUUAUUUGUAGGUACUGUAUGAAUAAGGACCGGCUAAUUCCGUGCCAGCCGCCGCGGUAA